GCCUACCAAGGCGACGAUCAGUAGCCGGCCUGAGAGGGUGAACGGCCACACUGGGACUGAGACACGGCCCAGACUCCUACGGGAGGCAGCAGUGGGGAAUCUUCCGCAAUGGACGAAAGUCUGACGGAGCAACGCCGCGUGUAUGAUGAAGGUCUUCGGAUUGUAAAGUACUGUCUUUGGGGAAGAACGAUCUCUUUGAGAAUAUUGAGGGGAUAUGACGGUACCCAAGGAGGAAG
Molecule: ribosomal RNA, 236 nt
Filed under: uncultured Desulfosporosinus sp.
Lineage: Bacteria; Bacillati; Bacillota; Clostridia; Eubacteriales; Desulfitobacteriaceae
Description: partial 16S ribosomal RNA
Rfam family: Bacterial small subunit ribosomal RNA
Source: RNAcentral